AAGUCGUAACAAGGUUUCCGUAGGUGAACCUGCGGAAGGAUCAUUAAACGUUUUCCAACGUACCAACCACGUGAACUCGUUUUCGAGUGUCUGCGGUCGGCCUUGAGGGCGUCAAAGUAUGGUGGGCAUCCGCGGGCCGCAAGGCUCGAGGCUCUGCUGUUUGAUGUUCUGCAUCGUCUUCGGACGAGACAAGCCGCGCCUCAGCAACCAUUUAUUCUUUUAAUUAUUUUUUAAAACGCAUUGUACCACUCGUACUAACACUUUGUGAAGUCGGCAGAGCGUGCUUGCGCGCACUCCGAUGAACUUAAAGACAUUAAUUGCUGAACAACUCUUAGCAACGGAUAUCUUGGUUCUC
This 355-nucleotide unclassified non-coding RNA is filed under the name fungal sp. RNAcentral's name for it is "partial internal transcribed spacer region". The stretch from base 1 to 46 matches the Rfam family "Eukaryotic small subunit ribosomal RNA", at positions 1786 to 1831 of the family's 1831-position model. Lineage: Eukaryota; Fungi. The record is from RNAcentral.